Manihot esculenta (cassava) is the source of this 76-nucleotide small nucleolar RNA. RefSeq annotates it as small nucleolar RNA snoR117. The record is from RefSeq and is a predicted model, not a curated record. The transcript has a single exon. Lineage: Eukaryota; Viridiplantae; Streptophyta; Magnoliopsida; Malpighiales; Euphorbiaceae.
GGCCUUUGAUGCAAAGAAAAUUGUCCGUACCAUCUGAUCUCUUGAUGUAUUAAAACAUCUCUAGUUUCUGAGGCCU